This 498-nucleotide ribosomal RNA is filed under the name Pagurus rectidactylus. RNAcentral describes it as "partial large subunit ribosomal RNA". It matches the Rfam family "Bacterial large subunit ribosomal RNA", at positions 1933 to 2632 of the family's 2925-position model. Lineage: Eukaryota; Metazoa; Arthropoda; Malacostraca; Decapoda; Paguridae. The record is from RNAcentral.
GCAGUAUUCUGACUGUGCGAAGGUAGCAUAAUAAAUUGUCUUUUAAAUGAAGGCUUGAAUGAAAGGUUGGACAAAGUGUCAUCUGUUUCUUAAAUAUUUAUUGAAUUUGACUUUCAAGUGAAAAGGCUUGAAUGAAUUAAAAAGACGAUAAGACCCUAUAAAUCUUUACAAUAAAUAAAUUUUAUAUUUUAGUUUAUUAAGUAUAUAAGAUAUUAAAUUUAUAGUUGUUUCGCUGGGGCGGCGUAGAUAUAUAAAUAAACUGUCUAUAUUUUAAACUCAAUUAUAAUUGAUUAAUAAAAUUGAUCCUUAAAUAGAUUGAAAGAUUAAGAUACUUUAGGGAUAACAGCGUUAUUUUUUCUGAGAGUUCUUAUCGAAGAAAAAGUUUGCGACCUCGAUGUUGAAUUAAAGUAUCUUUAUGGUGCAGCCGCUAUAAGAGAGAGUCUGUUCGACUUUUUAAUACUUUACAUGAUUUGAGUUCAGACCGGCGUGAGCCAGGUU